This 253-nucleotide ribosomal RNA is filed under the name uncultured bacterium. Its description in RNAcentral is "partial 16S ribosomal RNA". It matches the Rfam family "Bacterial small subunit ribosomal RNA", at positions 524 to 776 of the family's 1533-position model. The record is from RNAcentral.
UACGAAGGGGGCUAGCGUUGUUCGGAAUCACUGGGCGUAAAGCGCACGUAGGCGGACUUUCAAGUCAGGGGUGAAAUCCCGGAGCUCAACUUCGGAAUUGCCUUUGAUACUGUUGGUCUCGAGUCCGGAAGAGGUGGGUGGAAUUCCUAGUGUAGAGGUGAAAUUCGUAGAUAUUCGGAAGAACACCAGUGGCGAAGGCGGCUCACUGGCCCGGUACUGACGCUGAGAUACGAAAGCGUGGGGAGCAAACAGG